Molecule: ribosomal RNA, 440 nt
Filed under: uncultured bacterium
Lineage: Bacteria
Description: partial 16S ribosomal RNA
Rfam family: Bacterial small subunit ribosomal RNA
Source: RNAcentral
CCUACGGGAGGCAGCAGUGGGGAAUAUUGCACAAUGGGGGAGACCCUGAUGCAGCGACGCAGCGUGAGUGAAGAAGGAAUUCGUUAUGGAAAGCUCUAUCAGCAGGGAAGAAAAUGACGGUACCUGAGUAAGAAGCCCCGGCUAACUACGUGCCAGCAGCCGCGGUAAUACGUAGGGUGCAAGCGUUAUCCGGAUUUACUGGGUGUAAAGGGAGCGUAGACGGCAGUGCAAGUCAGGAGUGAAAGGCGGGGGCUCAACCCCCGGACUGCUCUGGAAACUGUACGGCUGGAGUGCAGGAGAGGUAAGUGGAAUUCGUAGUGUAGCGGUGAAAUGCGUAGAUAUUAGGAAGAACACCAGUGGCGAAGGCAGCUUACUGGACUGUAACUGACGUUGAGGCUCGAAAGCGUGGGUAGCAAACAGGAUUAGAUACCCGAGUAGUC